CCCUAGAUGUUCUGGGCCGCACGCGCGCUACACUGACGAAUGCAACGAGCUUAUAACCUUGGCCGAAAGGUCUGGGUAAUCUCCAAAUUUCGUCGUGAUGGGGAUAGAUUAUUGCAAUUAUUAAUCUUCAACGAGGAAUGCCUAGUAAGCGCAAGUCAUCAGCUUGCGUUGAUUACGUCCCUGCCCUUUGUACACACCGCCCGUCGCUCCUACCGAUUGAAUGGUCCGGUGAAGCGUUCGGACCGUGGCCUUUGGACGGUUCGCCGUCUGUUGGCUGCGGGAAGUUCGUUAACCCUUNUNAUUUAGNGGAAGGAGAANUCGUANCA
This 326-nucleotide ribosomal RNA is filed under the name uncultured eukaryote. Its description in RNAcentral is "partial 18S ribosomal RNA". It matches the Rfam family "Eukaryotic small subunit ribosomal RNA", at positions 1471 to 1796 of the family's 1831-position model. The record is from RNAcentral.